Molecule: ribosomal RNA, 872 nt
Filed under: uncultured archaeon
Lineage: Archaea
Description: bacterial SSU rRNA
Rfam family: Archaeal small subunit ribosomal RNA
Source: RNAcentral
AAGACCGGUGCCAGCCGCCGCGGUAACACCGGCAGCCCGAGUGGUGAUCACUAUUAUUGGGUCUAAAGGGUCCGUAGCCGGUUUAAUCAGUCUUCUGGGAAAUCUAAUCGCUUAACUAUUAGGCUUCCAGGGGAUACUGUUAGACUUUGGGACCGGGAGAGGUAAGAGGUACUGCAGGGGUAGGAGUGAAAUCUUGUAAUCCCUGUGAGACCACCAGUGGCGAAGGCGUCUUACCAGAACGGGUCCGACGGUGAGGGACGAAAGCUGGGGGCACGAACCGGAUUAGAUACCCGGGUAGUCCCAGCUGUAAACGAUGCUCGUUAGGUGUCAGGAACGGUGCGACUGUUUCUGGUGCCGAAGGGAAGCCGUGAAACGAGCCACCUGGGAAGUACGGCCGCAAGGCUGAAACUUAAAGGAAUUGGCGGGGGAGCACUACAACGGGUGGAGCCUGCGGUUUAAUUGGACUCAACGCCGGAAAACUCACCGGGGGCGACAGCAAUAUGUAGGUCAGGUUAAAGGUCUUACCUGAAUCGCUGAGAGGAGGUGCAUGGCCGUCGUCAGUUCGUACUGUGAAGCAUCCUGUUAAGUCAGGCAACGAGCAAGACCCGUGCCCACUGUUACCAGCAUAUCCUUUAUGGAUGAUGGGGACUCUGUGGGGACCGCUGCUGCUAAAGCAGAGGAAGGUGCGGGCUACGGUAGGUCAGUAUGCCCCGAAUCUCCCGGGCUACACGCGGGCUACAAUGGUUGGGACAAUGGGUAUCUACUCCGAAAGGAGUUGGCAAUCUCUUAAACCCAACUCGUAGUUCGAAUUGAGGGCUGUACUCGCCCUCAUGAAGCUGGAAUCCGUAGUAAUCGCGUUUCAACAUAGCGCG